CGUAGGUGGCGAGCGUUGUCCGGAAUUACUGGGUGUAAAGGGCGUGUAGGCGGGACUGUAAGUCAGAUGUGAAAUUCCAAGGCUUAACCUUGGCGCUGCAUCUGAACUAUAGUUCUUGAGUGCUGGAGAGGAAAGCGGAAUUCCUAGUGUAGCGGUGAAAUGCGUAGAUAUUAGGAGGAACACCAGUGGCGAAGGCGGCUUUCUGGACAGUAACUGACGCUGAGGCGCGAAAGCGUGGGGAGCAAACAGGAUUAGAUACCCUGGUAGUCCACGCUGUAAACGAUGGAUACUAGGUGUAGGAGGUAUCGACCCCUUCUGUGCCGGAGUUAACACAAUAAGUAUCCCACCUGGGGAGUACGGCCGCAAGGUUG
This 371-nucleotide ribosomal RNA is filed under the name uncultured organism. Its description in RNAcentral is "bacterial SSU rRNA". It matches the Rfam family "Bacterial small subunit ribosomal RNA", at positions 526 to 896 of the family's 1533-position model. The record is from RNAcentral.